RNAcentral lists this ribosomal RNA (531 nucleotides) under Salegentibacter mishustinae. Its description in RNAcentral is "bacterial SSU rRNA". It matches the Rfam family "Bacterial small subunit ribosomal RNA", at positions 380 to 907 of the family's 1533-position model. Lineage: Bacteria; Pseudomonadati; Bacteroidota; Flavobacteriia; Flavobacteriales; Flavobacteriaceae. The record is from RNAcentral.
AGCCUGAUCCAGCCAUGCCGCGUGCAGGAAGACUGCCCUAUGGGUUGUAAACUGCUUUUACAGAGGAAGAACCACCCCCACGUGUGGGGGUUUGACGGUACUCUGCGAAUAAGGAUCGGCUAACUCCGUGCCAGCAGCCGCGGUAAUACGGAGGAUCCAAGCGUUAUCCGGAAUCAUUGGGUUUAAAGGGUCCGUAGGCGGGCAGUUAAGUCAGUGGUGAAAGUCUUCCGCUCAACGGGAGAACUGCCAUUGAUACUGAUUGUCUUGAGUUAUUAUGAAGUGGUUAGAAUGAGUAGUGUAGCGGUGAAAUGCAUAGAUAUUACUCAGAAUACCGAUUGCGAAGGCAGAUCACUAAUAAUAUACUGACGCUGAUGGACGAAAGCGUAGGUAGCGAACAGGAUUAGAUACCCUGGUAGUCUACGCCGUAAACGAUGGUUACUAGCUGUUCGGCCCAAUUGAGGGCUGAGUGGUUAAGCGAAAGUGAUAAGUAACCCACCUGGGGAGUACGUUCGCAAGAAUGAAACUCAAAUG